RNAcentral lists this non-coding RNA (26 nucleotides) under Mus musculus (house mouse). Lineage: Eukaryota; Metazoa; Chordata; Mammalia; Rodentia; Muridae. The record is from RNAcentral.
UACUUAACAAGAAGUCUGAUGGAAGC